Molecule: non-coding RNA, 74 nt
Organism: Pangasius djambal
Lineage: Eukaryota; Metazoa; Chordata; Actinopteri; Siluriformes; Pangasiidae
Source: the annotation of a GenBank genome assembly
GGCGGUUAUGACUCACUGGUUAAGGCUCUGGACUCCUGCUCGAAAAGUUGAGAGUUCAAAUCUCAGAACCGCCA